Ictalurus furcatus (blue catfish) is the source of this 648-nucleotide non-coding RNA. The record is from the annotation of a RefSeq genome assembly. NCBI's taxonomy places the organism in Eukaryota, Metazoa, Chordata, Actinopteri, Siluriformes, Ictaluridae.
AUGGCGAGUGUCAUUGUGUCGUAUCACAUCCUCCAACUCAGCACCUGCAGUCGCUCCCAGCUGCAGCAGACUUUCGGUGGAGGAACUAAACUGUCUGUGGGCCGCCUCACCCAGCCCAGUGUGACGGUGUUGCCCCCCUCCAGUGUGGAGCUGCAGCAGGAGAAGGUCACACUCGUGUGUGUGGCCUACAAGGGCUUCCCCUCGGACUGGAGGCUGAGCUGGAAGGUUGAUGGGAGCAGCUGGAGCUCGGGGGAGAGCCGCAGCACCGCAGUUCUGCAGGCGGACGGCCUCUACAGCUGGAGCAGCACUCUGAGCCUCCACCCGUGUCAGUGGAGGAACAAGGUGGUGACCUGUGAGGCCUCCAAGGACAACCAACCACCUGUGGUGAGCACAGUGAACACAGAGCAGUGCUGAGAGCUGUGAGCUCACACACACGUUACUCAGCUCACCUUCUACUGCUUCACUGUGUGUUCCAUGUGGCCUUUACUGCUCAAAUGUCCCACUUUCAUCAUUUCAUUCGAGUUAUUGACAUGUGAGCUCACACACUCCUCACUUUAACUCAGAUCUUCUUCUUAUCACCUAAAUAUGUGUUAAGUGUGUGUAUCACUGCAAUGUCCUGCUUUGAAUUAUUAAUAAAAGCCUUUUGAA